UACGUAGGGGGCGAGCGUUGUCCGGAUUUACUGGGCGUAAAGGGUGAGUAGGCGGUUAUAUAAGUCAGAUGUAAAAGGCUAUGGCUCAACUAUAGUAAGCAUUUGAAACUGUAUGACUUGAGUGCAGGAGAGGUAAGUGGAAUUCCUAGUGUAGCGGUGAAAUGCGUAGAUAUUAGGAGGAACACCAGUGGCGAAGGCGACUUACUGGACUGUAACUGACGCUGAGUCACGAAAGCGUGGGUAGCAAACAGG
Molecule: ribosomal RNA, 252 nt
Filed under: uncultured Sedimentibacter sp.
Lineage: Bacteria; Bacillati; Bacillota; Tissierellia
Description: partial 16S ribosomal RNA
Rfam family: Bacterial small subunit ribosomal RNA
Source: RNAcentral